GUCACUUUCAGGAAGCGUAUGUUGUGCUCUCUUCCCCACCCCCUCCGCCCCCCAAUUUGCCCAAGACACUUGGGAGUGGGUUAUAAAACACAUAGGUGCCCCAGGAGGGUGCCCGAGCAAGGCUGAAGGAGACCCUCCAGGGGGGAGGGGUGGUUGUUUACCAAUUAAGAAAGAAACAACCCCAAAAAGCUCUGGGCGGAAUUUCAAAUUGUCGGAUUUCUAAGUAGCCAGCACCCCCCCCCCUCCCCACCUCCAGCGUAUUUCUUUCUUUCCUCCCCUCUCCCGGCCUGCUUUCCCUCUUUGUUGCCAAGCUCAGACGUCGCUGCUGAAACCCAGCCCAGCGCCCGCGAAGCCCGGAAACUUCCAGCUCCGCGACCGGGGCGGAAAGUUGGGGUCGCAAGGCCAGGGUGACAGCGGCGCCCCAAGGGCCGGGCGCGGCGGGGACCCGGGGCGCCGCCCGUCGCGGCCUCGCUCUGCCCGGCCGCGCCGGGACCUCGGACAGUCCAGGGGCCGGACGUGAACUUGACCGCGCGGGGCUCCCCGGGACGACCCGGCAACAGGACUGCCCCGCCCCCACGUCCUCGGAGGAGCCUCCGUGCCCUCUCAGCCUGUGCCCACAGAGCUCGCUGUGUAGGACGCAGAAAGCGAAUCUGAACUUGAACUUUCUUCCUGUCCCAAGCAGUACAGUCAACCUCCAGGUACGAAAACCUGGGCCUGUUGCUGCACAGAGGGCGGGCUGCAGAGAGGACGGGCUGUGCCUCCAGCCCGGGGGCCCUGGGAGACUGACCUCGUCUCCCGGCAUCCUCAACUUCCUCACUCAUAAAAUGGGCUCAGUACUGGCUCUGACUCAGUGGGAUCGUGGGGAGGAUGGCGAUACCCGCGUGCACACUCAGCGUGGUACCAGCACACAGUAGGCACUCAGUAUGCGUUCACUGCUCUAUCGGACCGCAGUCUGGGUAGACCCUGCCGCUGGCUCCCCUCACAAACCACCUGCUUCUGGGGCCGCUCAGGAUUCUGUUUCGCCAUUUCAUGUCAACCCUCAAUUGCUUGCCUCUCCCCGCUUCCUUUGUUUAUUUUCUUCUCCUCAACGAAAGCAUCGCUGAGCCUCCCCCCGUGUCGACAGCCCUGUGCUGAGCACUGGGGAUCGAGAAGUGAGUCUGAUACACAAGGUACCUUGAGAAGCUGCUGGAGGCUCUGUGCAGCUAUGACACCGGGGUGAGGUUCUCUGGGCUAAUUUCCCAUCCAGAGAGGGUGUUUCCUGCACAGUGCUCCUGCUGGCAGCCCUGCAGUCUUUGUUGAAUGCCUCCAGAGACGAGCAGCUCACCACUUCCCCGGUGGUGUGUCUGCGGAAGCCUCGUUGGUAUCCCCGAAACUUGACUGUUCGGACCGGGUGUAGACAGGACUACAGCAGUGGCUCUGGGUCUGAGGCGCCUGGUUUUACAGGGGGGAGGGGGAUACACACACCUGGUAAGAGGGUCCUAAAAAGUGGGUGAGGUGCUCGUCUUAGAAGGGACGGAUGCGUGUUGUUAUGAAACAGAGCCCCGUUUCCCGCUUUUGCCGGUAGCCUCUGUAGCAGGAAGACGACAGGGCUCUCUGAGCGGGACAUUAACCAAACAUAGUACAAAAAGCUGGUAACUGCACUAAGGAAGCCGGGGAGCCAAGUGGAGGCGUCCGGAGGCCUUGGGUCGCCCGCCGGGACUCUGGCUGCACAAUCUGCAGAGCUCAGUGUGAGGGGAACGCAUGCGGCCCUUGUUCAGAAUGAUCAAGAAUUUCAAGAUGGUGACAGCAGGGCAUUAAACGAAGGGUGGGCCCUUCUGAGCACAGGGCCUUCCCUUUGUGACAGGUCACCAACCCGUGAGCCCGGCAGCACUCCUUGAACGCGCUCUUGCCGCGAGCGGAGGCCGGAGAGGACCCCCAGGCGGUCCCUCCAAGGAGCGUGACUCCUCUCCUGCAUUGCCUCUUCCUUCCAUCACUGAUGUUACAUGCUAAUUUUAGAGCGUUUUGAAUCCUCACCAAAGAAGAAAAAUAUUUUCAAUCACCUGGAAAACCCCGCUCUCGGAAAUAGCCAGUGGGAGCGCCUUCGGCAGCUUCCAACUUCCACAAUUUGAAACAAAAUUACCAUUUUAGCUUCUUCGGGUAAUAUGUAUCAUUUUAUCUCCUGCUUGUUUCACUAAAUAUUUUAUCACUGCCCCAUUCCCAAGUCAGAAGAUCCCAUUCUUGCAACGGUUGAUUGUUAAUGACUAAUAUUCCGUUGGAUACAUCUUUUUUAACAACCCUUGUUAUUGGAUGCCGGCUAUUUCCCGUUCUCUCUGGUAGAAACAGCACUUUGAGGAAUGCCUGUGUGCACAUUUCUGCCGAUUUCCUAGGAGAGCAAAGGCUCUUAGGUCCCAGAAGCCUCUUGGGGCGGGGGGGUGUCUCUGAAGUGCCUCCUUGGCCACGGUCUCCGGAUGAGGACCCUGGGCCCAGGGAGCAGAGGCCCCGGCCCUAGAACCUCCUGCCUGGCCUAUCGUGAGAAGGACAGAUUAAUGAUAAUGAGGCGGAAGAUGGCCCCUUAUCCCACCGAACUGUGGACCGGAUUUCGGGGUCUGGGCUGCCUCGGUCACUAAGCCCGCCAGGCUGGGAUGCAAUAACAUAAGGCUUAGCGGGGUGCCCUCUCUUGGGCAACACUCGAACAUGGCGGCGUGGAAAAGCAGGAAGAAGGGGGGAGGAGGGGCGUGGGGAGGAAAAGCAGAAGCCGGGAGGUGAGGUGAGAGCCCCCUUAGGAGAGGAGGGCUCUGCGGGGCAUUUGGUCACUUGGCCGAAGACUCCAGAGGGCGAGGAUGAGGUCUGUCAACCGCAGCCCAGCAUGGCCCGCCACCGAUGCGCAGCGGACGUUGUGUGGCGUGGAUACGGAGGCGGGCUGCACCCCCAGCCUCGCUCAGAGGCGUCUGGACGUGUGGGGGAGGAAGCGAGGUGGUGUGUGAGUGUCCUAUCGCUGCCGUAACAAAGGUCACUGACAUUGGCUCCACCAAGGCAAGCUCAUUAUUGUGGAGCUCAUUAUUGUGGAGGCUGGGAGUCCGCAAUGACUCACGGGGCUAAAACCAAGGUGCUGGCAGGCCCGGUUCCUUCUGGAGCCCCCCCCCCCCCCCCCCCCCCGGGGAGAAACCUUGCCUCGGCCUUUUCUAGCCUCUAGAGGUGCCCACAUUCCUUGGCUUCUGGCCCUUCCUCCAUCUCCAGGGAGAGACUGCACCCCUCCUUCUCUGAUCACCGUCGGGCCAGGGGCUCCAUGUUCAAGGGUUUGUGUCAUUCCAUCGGACCCAACUGGAUAAUGCAGGAUCCGGGCCCUUAACUCGUCCACCCGCCCAGUGGAUUUGGACUCUUCUGGGUUUGCUCCUGGGCUGAGUAAGUUCCUGCCAGAGGCCCUGUUAUUGGCUCCCCACUUGGCCUACCUCCAGGACAGAGGUUCUGGGAGUUCAGGCAGGUUCUCUGCUCAGCCAGGAGCUGCUUGGCCUCACCUAAACCCCACAGGGCAGGCAUCGUGGGCGCUAUUAUCCCCAUUUCACGGGUGGGCAAACUGAGACCCGGCGAGGCUGGAUGAUUUGCUUAAGGCCACACAGCUGGCGGGGGACAGAGCUGACCCUCAGUAAUGGUGGAUCCCAAACCCAGGGCCCCACGGGGCCUGCCACCUGCCCCUAGGAAUACAGCCUUCCCUGGCUCUCCCUUAACCACAGCCCUUGAUUCUUUCCAGAAGGGCGGCAGGCCUUCCUGCCCCUUUUCCAGAACAGGCCGGCUGUUCUCAGGGACAGAAAGGCCACAGGGCGGCCCUUGGCAGGGGGCUCGUGUGAGCGCGAAGGGAUGUGGGAGCCUCACCAGGCGGCGGGGCCUCACCGCGGCUUGCGUGUUGGUAGGCGAAGGUGUGGAUAGCAGAAGACACACUUGUCCCAACCUGGAGGGCUGCCGCCCUGCCAGGUCCUGCUCCCCGCUGAGGGCCUUUGGGACGUCUCUUAACACAGAACCAGCACAGCACGUUGACCUGACCAGUGCAGAGUUGCUCUGAAUAAGGAAGUGAGGAAGAGAACGUUCCUGGCUCAGCAUCUGAAGCUGGGCUGGCCCUCCAUACACAAAGGCAGGCAAGGGCGUGCACCCCACGGCAGGGACUGUGCAGAGGGCACGGCCCGCCUUCCCUCCAAGCCACCCCCUGCGGCUGAUCCCCCCACCCCCGGGGGCCUGAGCCUGGCACGGGAGGAGUUAAGCGGCUGCCGCGGGCACCUUGGCACACGGAGCUGCCCAGAAUGUCCGGCUCCCCACCCCCACUGCUUUUCUUCCCUUUUUUUGCCUUUUUCCUUCUUAAUUAAUCAUACGCUGCUGCCCAAUUUAAAUAUGGAAAUGCCCAGGCCUGGCGAUGCAAUUAUUCCCCAGGCCAGGCGGGCUGUCCGGCCCUGGGCUGCGGGGAGCAUCGUGGCAUCGCCUCCUUUCUGGUGUGUGUGAAAUUAUGUGCACAAAAGGCGUCUCCUUAGAUAUCUGAGUGUGUGAACUAACUAAAUAAAUAAGGGCUUUUGUUUGUU
This is a long non-coding RNA of Neofelis nebulosa (Clouded leopard), 4544 nucleotides long. RefSeq lists it as uncharacterized. NCBI's taxonomy places the organism in Eukaryota, Metazoa, Chordata, Mammalia, Carnivora, Felidae. The record is from RefSeq and is a predicted model, not a curated record. The transcript has 2 exons.